CUACGGGUGGCUGCAGCGGGGAAUAUUGCACAAUGGGCGAAAGCCUGAUGCAGCGAUGCCGCGUGAGGGAAGAAGGUCUUCGGAUUGUAAACCUCUGUUUUCAGGGACGAUAAUGACGGUACCUGAGGAGGAAGCUCCGGCUAACUACGUGCCAGCAGCCGCGGUAAUACGUAGGGAGCGAGCGUUGUCCGGAAUUACUGGGUGUAAAGGGAGUGUAGGCGGGAAAACAAGUCAGAUGUGAAAACUAUGGGCUCAACCUGUAGACUGCAUGUGAAACUGUUUUUCUUGAGUGAAGUAGAGGGAAGCGGAAUUCCUAGUGUAGCGGUGAAAUGCGUAGAUAUUAGGAGGAACAUCAGUGGCGAAGGCGGCUUACUGGGCUUUUACUGACGCUGAGGCUCGAAAGCGUGGGGAGCAAACAGGAUUAGAUACCCCAGUAGUC
Molecule: ribosomal RNA, 439 nt
Filed under: uncultured bacterium
Lineage: Bacteria
Description: partial 16S ribosomal RNA
Rfam family: Bacterial small subunit ribosomal RNA
Source: RNAcentral